ACGCCCAGCCUCCAUUCCGAACCUGGAAGCUAAGCCCGGCAGCGCCAAUGGUACUGCAACCGCCAGGUUGUGGGAGAGUAGGACACCGCCACAA
RNAcentral lists this ribosomal RNA (94 nucleotides) under Actinomyces sp. Lineage: Bacteria; Bacillati; Actinomycetota; Actinomycetes; Actinomycetales; Actinomycetaceae. The record is from RNAcentral.